RNAcentral lists this ribosomal RNA (83 nucleotides) under Anethum foeniculum (fennel). RNAcentral describes it as "partial 5.8S ribosomal RNA". It matches the Rfam family "5.8S ribosomal RNA", at positions 73 to 153 of the family's 154-position model. Rfam says of the family: 5.8S ribosomal RNA (5.8S rRNA) is a component of the large subunit of the eukaryotic ribosome. The record is from RNAcentral. Lineage: Eukaryota; Viridiplantae; Streptophyta; Magnoliopsida; Apiales; Apiaceae.
UGCAGAAUCCCGUGAACCAUCGAGUCUUUGAACGCAAGUUGCGCCCGAAGCCAAUAGGCCGAGGGCACGUCUGCCUGGGUGUC